RNAcentral lists this ribosomal RNA (548 nucleotides) under uncultured bacterium. RNAcentral describes it as "partial 16S ribosomal RNA". It matches the Rfam family "Bacterial small subunit ribosomal RNA", at positions 355 to 895 of the family's 1533-position model. The record is from RNAcentral.
UGGGGAAUUUUGGACAAUGGGGGAAACCCUGAUCCAGCCAUCCCGCGUGUGCGAUGAAGGCCUUCGGGUUGUAAAGCACUUUUGGCAGGAAAGAAACGUCGCGGGUUAAUACCCCGCGAAACUGACGGUACCUGCAGAAUAAGCACCGGCUAACUACGUGCCAGCAGCCGCGGUAAUACGUAGGGUGCAAGCGUUAAUCGGAAUUACUGGGCGUAAAGCGUGCGCAGGCGGUUCGGAAAGAAAGAUGUGAAAUCCCAGAGCUUAACUUUGGAACUGCAUUUUUAACUACCGGGCUAGAGUGUGUCAGAGGGAGGUGGAAUUCCGCGUGUAGCAGUGAAAUGCGUAGAUAUGCGGAGGAACACCGAUGGCGAAGGCAGCCUCCUGGGAUAACACUGACGCUCAUGCACGAAAGCGUGGGGAGCAAACAGGAUUAGAUACCCUGGUAGUCCACGCCCUAAACGAUGUCAACUAGCUGUUGGGGCCUUCGGGCCUUGGUAGCGCAGCUAACGCGUGAAGUUGACCGCCUGGGGGAGUACGGCCGCAAGAUU